Molecule: small nuclear RNA, 184 nt
Organism: Pseudophryne corroboree (corroboree frog)
Lineage: Eukaryota; Metazoa; Chordata; Amphibia; Anura; Myobatrachidae
Product: U2 spliceosomal RNA
Exons: 1
Source: RefSeq, a predicted model, not a curated record
AUUACUUCUUGGUCCUUUGGCUAAGCUCGGGUGUAUUAUCUAUUCUUAUCAGUUUUUCUAUCUGAUACGCUUCCUUUCUGGGGCCUAUUUAUUAAAGGAAAUUUUAGAAUAGGGAGAAAAGCUUUCUCUUUCUAAUCCUCGCCUUGACCUGGAUUACAGUACUUCCAGGACUGAUACACAAUGC